RNAcentral lists this ribosomal RNA (1210 nucleotides) under metagenome. Its description in RNAcentral is "SSU rRNA". It matches the Rfam family "Eukaryotic small subunit ribosomal RNA", at positions 1 to 1177 of the family's 1831-position model. The record is from RNAcentral.
UCUGGUUGAUCCUGCCAGUAGUGAUAUGCUUGUUUCAAAGAUUAAGCCAUGCAUGUCUAAGUAUAAGCGAACUUAUACAGUGAAACUGCGGAUGGCUCAUUAAAACAGUUUGAAUUUAUUUGAUGAAUGUAUGAGAAUACUACUUGGAUAACCGUAGUAAUUCUAGAGCUAAUACAUGCAACGACGCCCGACCGUUUCACUACGGAAGGGCUGUAUUUAUUGGAUACCAAAACCAUCCUUCCCUCGGGAAGUUUUGUUUGAUGAUUCACAAUAACUGAUCGGAUCGCCACUGUGGUGGCGACAGGUCAUUCAACAUUCUGCCCUAUCAGCUUUCGAUGGUUGUGUAGUGGACAACCAUGGCCAUAACGGGUAACGGAGAAUCAGGGUUCGAUUCCGGAGAAGGAGCUUGAGAAUUGGCUACUACAUCUAAGGAAGGCAGCAGGCGCGCAAAUUACCCAAUCCCGAUUCGGGGAGGUGGUGACAAAAAAUAACAAUACCGGGCCUUUUUGGGCUUGGUAAUUGGAAUGAGGGAGAGUUAAACGGACCAUCGAGUAUCCAUUGGAGGGCAAGUCUGGUGCCAGCAGCUGCGGUAAUACCAGCUCCAAUAGCGUAUAUUAAAGUUGUUGCAGUUAAAAAGCUCGUAGUUGGACUUGUGUGCGCUGUCCGCGGGUGGCCUGCGCCCAAAAGGGCGUUUCGGUUCGGCCCCGGUGGCGCCUUGAAAUCUGCAGCUGGGGGGACGUUGGCCUUAACUGGUCGGCGACCGCACGCCGGCUGCUCGGUUACUGUGAGAAAAUUAGAGUGUUCAAGGCAGGCAUUGGGUGCAAUUGAAUACAUUAGCAUGGAAUAAUAAAACAUGGCUCCUGCCGUAUUUUGUUGGUUUUGACUGGUGGGAGUAAUGAUUGAUAGGGACGGUUGGGGGUGCUAGUAUUGAGCGGCCAGAGGUGAAAUUCAUGGAUUCGCUCAAGACUAACUUAUGCGAAAGCAUUCACCAAGGACGUCCUCUUUAAUCAAGAACGAAAGUUGGGGGAUCGAAGACGAUCAGAUACCGUCGUAGUCUCAACCAUAAACUAUGUCGACUUGGGAUCGGCGGUAGUUUUUUCAUUAAGACACUGUCGGGACCACGGGAGAAAUCAAAGUGUCUGGACUCUGGGGGAAGUAUGGUCGCAAGGCUGAAACUUGAAGGAAUUGACGGAAGGGCACCACCAGGAGU